GUUGGAGUGCAGUGGCGCGAUCUUGGCUCACUGCAACCGCCACUUCCCAGGUUCAAGUGGUUCUCCUGCCUCAGCCUCCUGAGUACCUGAAAUUACAGGCGCCCGCCACCACGCCAGUCUCAAUACCUUCACAGAGGUGAAGAAGCAGCAACCAAAUGAAUUAGACAGCAACAUGAUUCCUAGAGAAUGGCAAGACCAAUUCUUCAACUACUUCUUCAGCAUUUCUGAAACAUAUGGAAGAUGGCCCAUUGUGCUCUCUUAAUUCUUUGAUAAUCUGGACAUUGACUUUUCCAUUAUAUGACCUGGGCUUGUGGGCAUCAUGUCAUAAUGCACCUGUUCAGACAUCUCCCUGUACCAAUAUGGAUCACUUGAAGAGACUCCUUUGCCCCCAUCAAAAAGGAUACAGUUGUGUAUCUCUUCCAUUUUUGUUUACAGUGCCUAAAAUUAUUUGAGCAGUUUUUCACCUCUUCUCUGAUAAACACCUUAUUAGUCCUUAAAAAGAAAAGAAAAAAGGAAAAUAAAACUUUUAUUGAGAUCCUA
Molecule: long non-coding RNA, 540 nt
Filed under: Homo sapiens (human)
Lineage: Eukaryota; Metazoa; Chordata; Mammalia; Primates; Hominidae
Description: non-protein coding SOX2-OT:68
Source: RNAcentral